Acipenser ruthenus (sterlet) is the source of this 2308-nucleotide long non-coding RNA. RefSeq lists it as uncharacterized. The record is from RefSeq and is a predicted model, not a curated record. The transcript has 2 exons. Lineage: Eukaryota; Metazoa; Chordata; Actinopteri; Acipenseriformes; Acipenseridae.
UGAAGAAUAGUUCUCAAACGAAGUUAAAUGAUACAAACAGGGCGUGCAAAUAGGGUUUAAUUCAAACAAACACAUAACGCAGACUUAGUGGGUUAACUCUUAGUGAAAAAAACAUAGAUUUUUUUUUUUGGCAAUGUAUUUUAUAAAUGCAGCGCUGCAGUUUUCCAUUUGCUGGCAACAAUAACUCAGUGCUGUUUUAAGAAGGUAGCCGGGCGCGCACACACACACACACACACACACACACACACGACACAGAUCCACCUGAGGAAUUCCAUUUAGGGAGGGACGGGCCCGGGUUCGCUCGCCCGCGACUGUAAACUGGGAAUGUCGACUUUUCCGAAUGAAUGCGAUACGAUUUGGACAGACUCGGGCUCUGUGGGAGAUUAGCGCAUCAGACAGGCUGGGAGACCAGGUGGUGUCUCUUCUAUCGGCGUGUAUGACUCAUCGUUAACUCAUGGGGGCCGCACGGCUAAACUUUCGAGGACACUGUAACAGCGCGUGUGUGUGUGUGCGCUUAUCAGCGCUUGGAUAGAACUGCACUUUUUUUUUUUUUUACUAGUGUUGCAAUGUCUUUUUUUCCCUUAGGUGGGCACAUGUUGCUGGAAUUUGAAUUGGAAAUGUUGCAAUGCAUCCCAAGGAUCGCCUUACAUGGCCGCGCAUAGAAAAUUAACGUGAACAGCGCGGAUUCGUUAAGAUGUAAGAAGUGAGCGACCACGGACGAGGGGUGCUGAAAAAACAGACCACCUCUCCUGUCCUCAUCACUUCGAGUUUGUUUCACUGUUUUAUGCUAACGUGGAGGACGUUGCCUCUAUACUACUGGAGGGAUCGGCUGCAAGGAAACCCCCGUGUAAAGUAGCUGGAUUUAUCAACACUCUCCUAGGUGUUGGCAGACACUGCGUUUGAGGAGAGAUGACCACCCCACCUCUUAAUGACUCAUGGGAUGUGCUGAAGAUUCCUAUGGGCGGCUGGGAACAGGGAAGUAGAUGACUGAGUGCUGUGUAUACCGAAGGGAGGAUGUUGGAAUUACUCAUCAGGACAUGUGGAAUCUCAUAUAUCUGUUAACGGACAAGGCAUUUAUCAAUUAAAAAAAACAACAACAAUGAGCAGCUGAUGGGCGCCAGCUUCCUAACUGUAAAAUGAAGCACGAGAGUCUCUUGUUUAUUCGUGUAACUUGUAACUCUAAGCACAACCAUGCUUUCUGAGACGAGGAAGGUGGCAAGGGACGAGCCUCCUCCUCCAGCUCUGACCCGACACAGCCAGCCCAGCUGCAGGGAAGGUGGGAGGGAGCUGGAAGAGAGGUUUGAACAUCGUGUUGAGUGCUUGAGAAUACACACCCUUUUAAUAAUGACAAGGACUCUUAGCAUUUAUCAACUGACCAAGUGCUGAACGUGUAAAGAACAGCUGUGAGCCUGGGUCUGAGAGAAUGCAUCUGAUCCGACAUGCUCGUGACACAAGUGGCGUCUCUGGCAAGGGCUGGAGGGGUGCUGGUGAUCGGAACAGGCUCUCUGGCCUUGAGGAGAGGAGGAGGAGGGUUUGGAAUUCCAGUCCUAUUGCACUUUAUGACAUCAUCAGCCAGCCCAGAAUGGAAGAUCUGGUAAUAUCACAUCAAUGUAGACAACAUGAUAUCCAGGCCAUUGGCACAAUCCUGUAGCCUCCCCACUCUCCCCUUUAUAAACGUUUUACACAAUAACAGCACAGCCAAGUGCAAUAAAGCAUAGUGAAAGCAUUGUAAAAGCAGUGUGAAAAAGCAUAUUAAAAAGCAUGGUAAACUAUGGUGACAGCGCGUUUUAUAACCUUAGAAAAACUGCAAGAAUACCGUGGUAAACAUUUGUAAGAGUCAGCCUUGAUGCCCAGCUUGGAUUGUGGGGCUGCCUUUUCUGAAGUCAGCAGAAGCAAGAUUGAUGGAUUGCAGCACAACAUGAAAGCAGACGGACAAUGUACUAGAUACCAGCAAUCAAAGAAUUUCCAUGUGCCAGACCAACAGCAGAGCUAAGCCAGACAGAGAGGAGCAAUAUCACUGCACAGGAGCAGGAGGAGGAGGAGGAGGAAGAGCUUGAGAAAACUUGGAAGUUUUCCAACUUGGACUUCAACAGCUUCAAUCAAUUUUUUUUCUAGUACACAACACAGGAGAGAUGCUGAAUUGGAGGAUCUUUUCAGUAAAUGUGAUAUACAUGUGACUAUCUGUAACGUGAUAUUCUAUUAUGUGAUAGUUUGCAAUGUGAUACUUUCUAUCGUGAUAUUUUGUAACAACUUUAUAAGUCACCCUGGAUAAGGGCGUCUACUAUGAAAUAAAUAACAAAUAAAAGGA